UUUAAUGAGAGUUUGAUCCUGGCUCAGGACGAACGCUGGCGGCGUGCCUAAUACAUGCAAGUAGAACGCUGAGGUUGGUGUUUACACUAGACUGAUGAGUUGCGAACGGGUGAGUAACGCGUAGGUAACCUGCCUCAUAGCGGGGGAUAACUAUUGGAAACGAUAGCUAAUACCGCAUAAGAGUAAUUAACACAUGUUAGUUAUUUAAAAGGAGCAAUUGCUUCACUGUGAGAUGGACCUGCGUUGUAUUAGCUAGUUGGUGAGGUAAAGGCUCACCAAGGCGACGAUACAUAGCCGACC
Molecule: ribosomal RNA, 300 nt
Filed under: Streptococcus agalactiae
Lineage: Bacteria; Bacillati; Bacillota; Bacilli; Lactobacillales; Streptococcaceae
Description: partial 16S ribosomal RNA
Rfam family: Bacterial small subunit ribosomal RNA
Source: RNAcentral